RNAcentral lists this transfer RNA (76 nucleotides) under Opitutales bacterium. Its description in RNAcentral is "tRNA-Thr". It matches the Rfam family "tRNA". From Rfam's summary of the family: Transfer RNA (tRNA) molecules are approximately 80 nucleotides in length. Their secondary structure includes four short double-helical elements and three loops (D, anti-codon, and T loops). Lineage: Bacteria; Pseudomonadati; Verrucomicrobiota; Opitutia; Opitutales. RNAcentral also lists the same sequence under 2 other names. The record is from RNAcentral.
GCCGGGGUAGCUCAGCUGGUAGAGCAACGCAUUCGUAAUGCGUGGGUCGUGAGUUCGAAUCUCAUCCCCGGCUCCA